Molecule: RNA transcript, 2442 nt
Organism: Ananas comosus (pineapple)
Lineage: Eukaryota; Viridiplantae; Streptophyta; Magnoliopsida; Poales; Bromeliaceae
Exons: 8
Source: RefSeq, a predicted model, not a curated record
AUCAAACGGAACUUAAGAGAGAGGACUUAAGGAAUUUGGCAAGUAGGCAAGAUGCAACAUUUGUUAGAUGGUUUGAAUCACGAAUAAAUCGCUUGCAUUGUGAAGGAAAUGGAAGUGUUAGCACGGAACUUCUACAUUUAGCUUGUGGUCCAAAUAGAAUGGUGACACGUUAUAGUGGUUAUAUUGUUAAUGGCUUUAGGUUUCAUACAUACAAGCAUGAAAUGCGACGACGAACACAAAAUAGCGGAGUUUUUGUAAAAGGUGAUGAGCAAUCUGGAAAUAGAGAAUACUUUGGAGUUUUGAAGGAUAUUAUAGAAUUGGAAUAUGAAGGGGGAAACAAAAUAGUACUUUUCAAGUGUGAUUGGUGGGAUACAUAUAAUGAAGGAAGGGGUUACAAGAAAGAAGCCAAUGGAAUGAUCACUUUUCUAAACUUCAGUCGACACUUGGCGACAAAUGAGCCAUAUGUGUUAGCAUCUCAAGUAGAACAAGUGUAUUAUGUAACAGACAAUAGAAAUCUUGAUUGGCGAAUGGUGGUAAAAACAUUACCUCGUAACUUUUAUGAUAUUCCUAUUGUUAAUGAGGAAGAGUCUAGUGAUGAUGAACCUGCUUGGGAUAAGAAUACAACAUUGGAUUCCCUACCUGACUAUGUUAUUAGCAAUGAUGACACUACCACACUGUUAAAUCGUGAUGAUGUUACCGGUCUUAUUAUUGAGAAAGAUCAUCUAUUACACAAAGUAAAUGAUGAUAGGCAUAUUGAUGGUUUUAUUGAUGAUAAUCAGGAAGAAGAGGAAUGGGAAGAAAGUGAAGAAGAUGAUUUGGAAUAAUAGUGUCAUGGCCGGCAAGUAUAAAGAAUGGAGUAAUCGGACUAGACUUGGCAGCACAAUGAUGCGUAGGGUGCAAGAGGCUUGACCUGAAAUUCCAUCAACCGAGGAGAUAGGGGAGCAUCGACCCCGAAUAGAGAUAAACAGAUCAAAUCACCAGAUGGAGCAAACUAAUGGACUUGAUGUACCAAAUAGCAGUAGUGCAGCUUCAUGUUUUGAAAGAAAGCGGACACGAGGAAAAACUAUAGGUUUGAAGUGGGUGAAAAAAAGGAAAGAAGAAAAGACCAAACCUGGAGUUGAGAUGCCUAAAGAUUUACAACGUGCAGUGGGUACAAAUGCACAACAGUUUAUUACCGAAACAGCUCAAAUUGUUAGACAGCAUGCUCCUUUAAAUGUAGAGAAGUGGAGUAAAAUACCCUUACAUUCCAUCGAUAGGAUGGUGAAAAUUGUUCAUGAGAAAUUCACUCUUCCAAAUCAAACUUAUGUCCUUGGAGUCAUUAUACACCAACUCCGAAGUCAUUUCAAUAGUUGGCGUUAUGACUUGCACCGAUUUCAUUACAAAAAAUACAAAACAGAUGAACAAAGGCGUGCUCACUGCCCUAGUGACAUUGAUCCAGAUCAGUAGAAUUGGCUCAUAAACUAUUGGAGCGAUCCGAAAUUUAAGAAAAUCAGUGAAGUAAAUAAAGAAAAUAAGUCGAAGCAAACGAUGCUCGCUCGUGUUGGUACAAAAUCUAUUGCAAGAAAUCUAACUGAAAUGAGAAAGGACUUAGAAGAAAAUGAACAAGAAAACAAUGAAAUAUCGGAACAACCUGAAUAUAUGAGGUUAUGGGAGAAAGUUAGAAAGAAAAAGGACGGAACAUGGGUUGAUACAAAUGCUAAGGAAAAAUAUAAGGAAAUGGAAAAUCUUCAUACAACUCAAAUGCAAGAGAAAGGCGAGGAUAUUCUGACAACUCGUGAAGCCUAUACAAUUGUACUUGGACACAGAUCUGGAUAUGUUCGGGGUAUGGGUUCAGGCCCUGAGCCUUUAGAAAAUGGCGGUCUGAGGGGACAAUGGCUUCGUGCACAAAUACAAGCAGAGAUCGAGGUUGAGAUGACAGCUCGAAUUCAAGAGGAGGUAGAGGCAUGCAUGGCACAAAAAGAGAGUGAGGUACAAGCUCAAAUAGAGCAACGAGAGGCUGAAGCAGAGGCUUGUUUAGCUCAAAAAGAGGCACGAUUGGAGCAAAUGGAAGCCCAAAUGCGUGCUGUUAUGCAGCAUUUAUCGGAAAUUGGGAUGCUUUUAUCUUCGCAGCCAACAUCCGCUAGUCGUUGAUUAAACAAGGCAUAUAAGCUUCAUGGAUUUCAUUUCCAUUUGUCUAGUGGUUUUGAAAGGGGAACAACUAAAGACUUGCACAUUUUGAAAAUACUUAAAGCAUCUUCAUACUUAAAGCAUCUUCAUAUUAUGUUUAAAAAAAUCUUAUAACUAGUUGUAAAAGUGGUAUAAUUAAACAAUUUGUGUAUGUUGGAGAUGCAUGAAGCAUUUUGUAUGUUUUGGAUAUUAGUAAUGGAUUUGUGUAUGUUGGAGAUGCAUGAAACUUUUUGUAUGUUUUGGAUAUUAGUAAUGGAACAACUUGUUUUAUUGAUA